RNAcentral lists this non-coding RNA (22 nucleotides) under Arabidopsis thaliana (thale cress). The record is from RNAcentral. Lineage: Eukaryota; Viridiplantae; Streptophyta; Magnoliopsida; Brassicales; Brassicaceae.
UAAAUGGAUGGUACUCAGAAUA